Molecule: ribosomal RNA, 591 nt
Filed under: uncultured Lactobacillus sp.
Lineage: Bacteria; Bacillati; Bacillota; Bacilli; Lactobacillales; Lactobacillaceae
Description: bacterial SSU rRNA
Rfam family: Bacterial small subunit ribosomal RNA
Source: RNAcentral
GCAGCAGUAGGGAAUCUUCCACAAUGGACGAAAGUCUGAUGGAGCAACGCCGCGUGAGUGAAGAAGGGUUUCGGCUCGUAAAACUCUGUUGUUAAAGAAGAACAUAUCUGAGAGUAACUGUUCAGGUAUUGACGGUAUUUAACCAGAAAGCCACGGCUAACUACGUGCCAGCAGCCGCGGUAAUACGUAGGUGGCAAGCGUUGUCCGGAUUUAUUGGGCGUAAAGCGAGCGCAGGCGGUUUUUUAAGUCUGAUGUGAAAGCCUUCGGCUCAACCGAAGAAGUGCAUCGGAAACUGGGAAACUUGAGUGCAGAAGAGGACAGUGGAACUCCAUGUGUAGCGGUGAAAUGCGUAGAUAUAUGGAAGAACACCAGUGGCGAAGGCGGCUGUCUGGUCUGUAACUGACGCUGAGGCUCGAAAGUAUGGGUAGCAAACAGGAUUAGAUACCCUGGUAGUCCAUACCGUAAACGAUGAAUGCUAAGUGUUGGAGGGUUUCCGCCCUUCAGUGCUGCAGCUAACGCAUUAAGCAUUCCGCCUGGGGAGUACGGCCGCAAGGCUGAAACUCAAAGGAAUUGACGGGGGCCCGCACAAGC